CACGUAGUUAGCCGUGGCUUUCUCAUCUGGUACCGUCAUUAUCGUCCCAGAAAACAGGGUUUUACGAUCCGAAAACCUUCAUCACCCACGCGGCGUUGCUGCGUCAGGGUUUCCCCCAUUGCGCAAUAUUCCCCACUGCUGCCUCCCGUAGGAGUCUGGACCGUGUCUCAGUUCCAAUGUGGCCGAUCACCCUCUCAGGUCGGCUACCCAUCGUUGCCUUGGUAAGCCAUUACCUUACCAACUAGCUAAUGGGCCGCGGGCCCAUCUCAAAGCAGAUUACUCCUUUGGUUAAAGUUUCAUGCGAAACUCUAACUUUAUGCGGUAUUAAUCCUCCUUUCGGAGGGCUAUUCCCCUCUUUGAGGCAGGUUACCCACGUGUUACUCACCCGUCCGCCGCUAAUCCACUUCCCGAAGGAGCUUCAUCGCUCGACUUGCAUGUGUUAAGCACGCCGCCAGCGUCGUCUGAGCAGGAUCAAACUCU
This 480-nucleotide ribosomal RNA is filed under the name uncultured Clostridium sp. RNAcentral describes it as "partial 16S ribosomal RNA". Lineage: Bacteria; Bacillati; Bacillota; Clostridia; Eubacteriales; Clostridiaceae. The record is from RNAcentral.